Long non-coding RNA from Corvus moneduloides (New Caledonian crow), 1760 nucleotides. The record is from Ensembl. Lineage: Eukaryota; Metazoa; Chordata; Aves; Passeriformes; Corvidae.
AGACAGAAACCAACAGAAGCCACGUGGAGAAGCAGGUUAUUGUGUAGAGGCAUGAGGGAGGGAAUUAGGAGUGGAAGGAAGCAAGAGGCCUUCUACAGCUAGUGCAGGAUUUGGCUGUCUCUUGGACGCCAGUUUCUUUGUGUUAGAGCUCAUUAACUGUACUAAGAACAGAACUCUGACUAAUUAUGUGAUAUAGUUUUGUAUCUUUUUCCUUGAUUUUCACCUGCCUCCUGCAUUUCCUUGUGCCUGAAUAGUCAUCUGACUUCACUUGCAUUUUCUGUCGCCCCAGGAAAAUAUGCUAGCCGGGAAAGGCCAAGUAUUUAGCUUGUCUGACAGAGAAAAAAGGUGGAAAUCUGCUGGUCCUUUUUGAUAUAGAUUGGUAGUAAGUAUUUAAUUCUGGAAAGUGUUCUGAGAUCUGAGCUUUUUAUGCCAAACCAAUGUAAAAUCCUGUCCAUCUCUCUGUCUGUCUAUUUUUCUUUCUAUCUGACUGUUAAUAUAUUUAUUUUUAAAUACUAGAAAUUCCUGAGGCAUAAAAAAUCAGAAUUUUUUCCUGGUGAUAUGAUACUGUUAGCUGAAGAGCGAGGCUGCUCAUCAUGGAGGGAAUGGAGAUUAUUUUUUUCAUGGAGAUGAAGCAGUAAAGCCAACAAAAGUAACUGCAGUGGCUGACCUGGGAUCUGGUUUUGAUGGUGGGGAAAUCUUUGUGUCCUUCUACCACAGAGACACAGAGGACAUAGUUGUGACAUACAGACGUCCUUGGUGAUGGAGUGAAGCUGCAACUGUUAGUUGGCUCUUGGUGUAAUUGAUGGACACUGCCAGUUGCUUAGACAGAUGGGAAUUAACACUGGUGUUCCCAUUAGAACUUGCCAUCACAGUCACGUUGGCUUUGGUCUCCUGCACUGGGUUGAUGUGUGCAAGAGAGUGCAUGUGGAAGGAGCAAGCGUAACUCCUGCCUGCAGUACUCGCCUUCCAGGGUAUUGGAGCCAUCCAUCCAACACAGAGCAGACGAGCUGCUUGCCAGCAGUUUGCAGAACACAUGGCUUUGAGAUGGUGAGGAAAAUGCUUCUUUGCUGGAUGCUGAGAGAUUGCAGUGAGCGGGACUCUCAUCCCUGGAGGCAUCUGUAAGCUGUACUUACAGGCAUUGCAGUGCCUUGUGGCCCAGCUGUCUCCUCUGGACCUCCGGUGACCCGGCACAGCCACCUUGUGACCUGUCAGGUGACAACCAUGAGGCACAGCAGGAGGUGAUGGCUAAGGUAGGAGAUGUUCCAGUCUUACUUACACAUUAAACACAUGGAAAAACAGAUUAACACCUAAGCACACAAACACACGUUAACACUGACUUGAAGCACACAAACAGAUGCAAACACUGUGAUUCCAAAUGUGUUCCGGGACAUCCACCUUUCUUCUCAUGGCUGGAACAGAACAGUGAUCCUGUUUGAGCAGUGUUGGACUGAAGAAAUUAAGGUAAGAGGGAGGGGGUUUAAAAAAAAAUAAAGCAGCUUGUUUCUGUGCACGUGCCUUUGUUACCGCCUUUUGGAUGCUGUGAUUUCCGUUUUACUUUGUGUCUGUUGCCAGUUAUGCAGAGCACUGGUUCACUGUGAACACUUGUCACAAUGUGUGUAAUUUAUUACUGAUGGUGUCCAGUUUGUUUCAGUUAAGAUAUUUGUGGGCGAAGGUUUUGUUCGGAUGUGUGUUCAAGACCACCUGAUUUGAUAGAGACUUCGCGCAGGGUUCAAUCUGCCCACGCUGCACUUGGCCAAGAG